RNAcentral lists this ribosomal RNA (1354 nucleotides) under metagenome. RNAcentral's name for it is "bacterial LSU rRNA". It matches the Rfam family "Bacterial large subunit ribosomal RNA", at positions 1553 to 2925 of the family's 2925-position model. The record is from RNAcentral.
AUGGGAAGACGUGAUGCGGAGUGAAGUUUAGUAAUGAAGUCCGUGAGCUGUGCGUCAAGAAAAGCCGCUAUUGUUCAUACCAUACCCGUACCGUAAACCGACACAGGUGGAUGAGGAGAGAAUCCUAAGGCCGGCGGAAGAAGCAUUGUCAAGGAACUCGGCAAAAUGACCCCGUAACUUCGGGAGAAGGGGUGCCACUGAGAAGUGGCCGCAGAGAAUAGGCUCAAGCAACUGUUUAGCAAAAACACAGGUCUAUGCGAAACCGUAAGGUGAGGUAUAUGGGCUGACGCCUGCCCGGUGCUGGAAGGUUAAGAGGAGAGGUUAGCGGAAACGCGAAGCUUUGAAUUUAAGCCCCAGUAAACGGCGGCCGUAACGAUAACGGUCCUAAGGUAGCGAAAUUCCUUGUCGGGUAAGUUCCGACCCGCACGAAAGGCGUAAUGAUUUGAGCGCUGUCUCGACAAUGCAUCCGGUGGAAUUGAAGUACCAGUGAAGAUGCUGGUUACCUGCGCCAGGACGGAAAGACCCCACGGAGCUUUACUCCAGUUUGGUACUGGGAUCCGGUACUGCAUGUACAGGAUAGGUGGGAGGCUGAGAAAUGGUAACGACAGUUGCCAUGGAGCCGCUGUUGGGAUACCACCCUUGCAGUAUUGGGUUUCUAACCAGCCGCCGUGACCCGGCGGUGGGACAAUGCCAGACGGGGAGUUUGACUGGGGCGGUCGCCCCCGAAAGGGUAUCGGAGGCGCCCAAAGGUUCCCUCAGGAUGGACGGAAACCAUCCAAAGAGUGCAAAGGCAGAAGGGAGCUUGACUGCGACACCGACGGGUGGAGCAGGUACGAAAGUAGGGCUUAGUGAUCCGGUGGUAUUAAGUGGGAAUGCCAUCGCUCAACGGAUAAAAGCUACCCUGGGAUAACAGGCUUAUCACUCCCAAGAGUUCACAUCGACGGAGUGGUUUUGGCACCUCGAUGUCGGCUCAUCGCAUCCUGGGGCUGUAGUAGGUCCCAAGGGUUGGGCUGUUCGCCCAUUAAAGCGGUACGCGAGCUGGGUUCAGAACGUCGUGAGACAGUUCGGUCCCUAUCCGGCGUGGGCGUAGGAUAUCUGAGAGGAGCUGUCCUUAGUACGAGAGGACCGGGAUGGACGGGCCGCUGGUGCACCGGUUAGACUGCCAAGUCUAUAGCCGGGUAGCCAAGCCCGGAAGGGAUAAACGCUGAAGGCAUCUAAGCGUGAAGCCCCCCUCAAGAUGAGAUAUCCCAUCCGAAAGGAGUAAACCCCCUUGAAGACGACGAGGUUGAUAGGGCAGGGGUGGAAGUGUGGUAACACAUGGAGCUGACUGCUACUAAUAGGGUGAGGGCUUGAC